Molecule: ribosomal RNA, 91 nt
Filed under: uncultured bacterium
Lineage: Bacteria
Description: partial 16S ribosomal RNA
Source: RNAcentral
GAGUGAUGAAGGCCUUAGGGUUGUAAAGCUACUUUCGUCAGGGAAGGAUAAUGACGGUACCCUGAGAAGAAGCCUCCGGCUAACUCCGUGC